Molecule: transfer RNA, 65 nt
Filed under: Dipodomys ordii (Ord's kangaroo rat)
Lineage: Eukaryota; Metazoa; Chordata; Mammalia; Rodentia; Heteromyidae
Rfam family: tRNA
About the family: Transfer RNA (tRNA) molecules are approximately 80 nucleotides in length. Their secondary structure includes four short double-helical elements and three loops (D, anti-codon, and T loops). Further hydrogen bonds mediate the characteristic L-shaped molecular structure. tRNAs have two regions of fundamental functional importance: the anti-codon, which is responsible for specific mRNA codon recognition, and the 3' end, to which the tRNAs corresponding amino acid is attached (by aminoacyl-tRNA synthetases). tRNAs cope with the degeneracy of the genetic code in two manners: having more than one tRNA (with a specific anti-codon) for a particular amino acid; and 'wobble' base-pairing, i.e. permitting non-standard base-pairing at the 3rd anti-codon position.
Source: Rfam by way of RNAcentral
GGUGGCUCAGUGGUAGAGCGCUCGCCUUGCAUGCAAGAGGCCCUGGGUUCGAUUCCUCAGCACCA